UACGAAGGGGGCUAGCGUUGUUCGGAAUUACUGGGCGUAAAGCGUAUGCAGGCGGACUUCUAAGUCGGGGGUGAAAUCCUGGAGCUCAACUCCAGAACUGCCUUUGAUACUGGCGAUCUUGAGUCCGGGAGAGGUGAGUGGAACUGCGAGUGUAGAGGUGAAAUUCGUAGAUAUUCGCAAGAACACCAGUGGCGAAGGCGGCUCACUGGCCCGGUACUGACGCUGAGGUGCGAAAGCGUGGGGAGCAAACAGG
This 253-nucleotide ribosomal RNA is filed under the name uncultured bacterium. RNAcentral describes it as "partial 16S ribosomal RNA". It matches the Rfam family "Bacterial small subunit ribosomal RNA", at positions 524 to 776 of the family's 1533-position model. The record is from RNAcentral.